This is a long non-coding RNA of Aethina tumida (small hive beetle), 635 nucleotides long. RefSeq lists it as uncharacterized. The transcript is spliced from 3 exons. The record is from RefSeq and is a predicted model, not a curated record. Lineage: Eukaryota; Metazoa; Arthropoda; Insecta; Coleoptera; Nitidulidae.
UGCAUGUUUUUGGUUUUGAGCACUGUUUUCUUCUGGUGUCAAGAUUUGUGUACGAUAUUCUAGCACCAUUCGAAAUCAGUUCUUACGCCAAAGGUCUUCAGGAACUCAACUUUAACAUAAAAACGUUUUGGUAACUACAACGACUGACUAUAGAGAAUUGACGCCAUUUUGAGUACUUUGGAUUGAAACUGAGACGGCGACCACUGACUGGAAGAAGCCAUAAAUGAAGACCUUCAAAAUUUCCUUGAGACCACAUAGACAAGUAUCAACCAUUCCAACCGAGGACAGCAAUCAUCAAUUGAACAGGAAGACGUCUUUGAAAUGUAGUCCUUCCUCCACAGACUUUGGUGAGCCCUCAGCAUGAAGAAGAGGAUGUAUGAUUUUAGAAUUGAUCACAUCAUUAACUCCAAGAUUAGUACCAAGGAGACUCCAUCAUCAUGGAGGUCUAAAUCACUGAUUAUUGAUAAUUAGUAAAACUGUAUUUCCUCCAAAUUAAUAAAAUAAUAUUCUUGAUUCACAUUUAUAUUAAAUUGACAUUGAAUAGAAAAUGAUAUAUUGUAUCUUAAAUAAAUUAAAUUUAUAAAGAAAAUAGAUGUGAUAGAAAAAGCAAUAUGAAAAAAUUUAUAAAAAGUACU